AGCGAACGCUGGCGGCAGGCUUAACACAUGCAAGUCGAGCGGGCACCUUCGGGUGUCAGCGGCAGACGGGUGAGUAACACGUGGGAACGUACCCUUUGGUUCGGAACAACUCUGGGAAACUAGGAGCUAAUACCGGAUACGCCCUUACUGGGGAAAGGGUUUACCGCCGAAGGAUCGGCCCGCGUCUGAUUAGCUAGUUGGUGAGGUAACGGCUCACCAAGGCGACGAUCAGUAGCUGGUCUGAGAGGAUGAUCAGCCACACUGGGAC
Molecule: ribosomal RNA, 268 nt
Filed under: uncultured bacterium
Lineage: Bacteria
Description: partial 16S ribosomal RNA
Rfam family: Bacterial small subunit ribosomal RNA
Source: RNAcentral